GAAAGGGUUCCAAAAGGGUUCUUAGGCUGUAACCAUUGGAGAACCCGUUUUGGUUCGAGGUAGAACCUUUUGGGUUCCAGGUAGAACCCCUUGGGUUCCAUGUAGGACUCUCUGUGGAAAGGGUUCUACAUGGAAUCCAAAAGGAUUCUACCUGGAACCAAAAAGGAUUCUUCAAUGGGUUCUGCUAUGGGGACAGUCAAAUGACCCUUUUAGAUUCUAGAUUGCACCUUUUUUUCUAAGACUGUAGUGGUGGUGGUAACUAAUAAUAAUUCAAUUACCCUCAUUAGUGAACGUUCUAGAACAAGUGGAUUCCAACCCACAUAAUACACACAUGUCACUUUUACUCUUCACCCAAACACGGCAAACUUUGACCUCUAAGCCUCUCUGACCAUUGACCCUUCUCUGCCAUGAAACCUGUCUUGAAUUCCACUGAGGGGUUGACUAAGCCUGUAUCCUCCCCUUAGAAGGUAGAGUACCACAGACCUACACUCAGGUCUGUAGCACUGGCUGUCUGAUGGGUGUCUGAUUAAUGUUGGUGAAUCUGCAGCCACCCCUAUAUUCCUCCCCCAGCCCUCAUCCUACACCACCAUACUUCAAGAGGAUAUGUUUACAAACAGUGGGGUAGAGAUACACCAUGUUUAAAAGCAGGUGCCUGGUUAUCUCUGCCUUCAUAUAGCUUCAAAGAGACCCAAAAGGGGCUCAGAGGUGGGACUGUGCCUUAGAUGGUUGGACACAUCACGGGCCUUGGUAUUGCCAAUAAGGAGGAGGGUGCAUAGCACAGUACACCAUACGCAGCUGUAUUAUCUGAGGUGCAUAUUCUGAAAACAAAUUCAAACGUAAAACUGUUAAACACAGAAUACCAGUGGGAAGGAAUUAUACCUUCAUGGUUAAAUUAGCCAUUUCAAAAGCACUAAUGUAAGCUUCCUGCACUGUCAUGUCCCUUUUUUUAUUUUAUGUUUUACCAUUGCACACUUCUUUCCAAUCUCCCCCCCAAAAAGAAUGGGGCUUUGAGUAUUUUUUUCUCCAAAAAAAAGCAUUCCUGUGAAGAUUAAAAUGGAAGGUCCCAGGUGGCGGGUCCCCUGAACCAGCCCUCUAACAGCCUGAGUGACUCCUCAACAGACCCUCUACUACUUUGGCAUCAGCUGCUGAGCGGCAGUAGUAGUGGUAGUGGUAGUGGUAGUGGUAGAGGUAGUGGUAGUGGUAGUGGUAGUGGUAGAGGUAGUGGUAGUGGUAGAGGUAGUGGUAGUGGUAGAGGUAGUGGUAGUGGUAGAGGUAGUGGUAGUGGCAGUGGUAGUGGUAGUGGUAGUGAUUGUGGUAGUGGUAGUGGUAGUAGUGAUAGUGGUAGUGGUAGUGGUAGUGGUAGUAGCUGUACACAUAGCAGGCAGGCUAGGUGCUCUCUGGCUCUGUAGGCUUCGAUCUCUCUACAGGUUACUCAGACUGAUAAUGCAGAGCCUCAGCUGCUCCUGGCCAGAAAGAGAUGCCAUUUACACAGCCAUUUUCUCUGUCUCAGUGUACACACACACAGUGUACACACACACACACACACACACACACACACACACACACACACACACACACACACACACACACACACACACACACACACACACACACCGAGGUGUCAUGCCCAUAGGGGGUAUCAUGCCCGCUCAGAUGUAUCCUGUUUAAAAUAUAUUUAUUAAAAAUAUAUAUACAGUACCAGUCAAUAGUUUGGACACACCUACUCAUUCAAGGGUUUUUCUUUAUUUAAAAAAAACUGUUUAAUAAUAGAAAACAUCAUAACUAUGAAAUAAUACAUAUGGAAUCAUGUGGUAACCAAAAAAAGUGUUAAACAAAUCAAAAUAUAUUUUAUAUUUUAUAUUCUUCAAUGUAGCCACCCUUUGCCUUGAUGACAGCUUUGCACACUCUUGGCAUUCUCUCAACCACCUUCACCAGGAAUGCGUUUACUUUUCCUUCACUCUGUGGUCCAACUCAUCCCAAACCAUGUCAAUUGGGUUGAGGUCAGGUGAUUGUGGAGGCCAGGUCAUCUGCAACACGCCAUCCCUCUCCUUCUUGGUCAAAUAACCCUUACACAGCCUAGAGGUGUGUUGGAUCAUUGUCCUGUUGAAAAACAAAUGAUAGUCCCACUAAGAGCAAAACAGAUGGGAUGGCGUAUCGCUGCAGAAUGCUGGGUAGCAAUGCUGGUUAAGUGUGCCUUGAAUUCUAAAUAAAUCACAGACAGUGUCACCAGCAAACCACCCACAUGCCAUCACACCUCCUCCUCCAUGCUUCACGGUGGGAACCACACAUGCAGAGAUAAUCCGUUCACCUACUCUGCGUCUCAGAAAGACACGCAGUUGGAACCAAAAUUCUCCAAUUUGUACUCAACAGACCAAAUGACAGAUUUCCAUUGCUCAUGUUUCUUGGCCCAGCAAGUCUCUUCUUCUUAUUGGUGUCCUUUAGUAGUGUUUUCUUUGCAGCAAUUCAACCAUUAAGGCCUGAUUCACUCAGUCUCCUCUGAACAGUUGAUGUUGAUGUCUGUUACUUGAACUCUGUCAAGCAUUUAUUUGGGCUGCAAUUUCUGAGUCUGGUAACUCUAAUGAACUUACCUUCUGCAGCAGAGGUAACUCUGGGUCUUCCUUUUCUGUGGCGGUCCUCAUGAGAGCCAGUUCCAUAAUAGCGCUGGAUGGUUUUUGCGACUGCAUUUGAAGAAACUCUUAAUUAAAGCUCUUGAAACUUUUGACUGGUACUGUGUAUAUAUUUUUUGUUAUUGUUGUUUCUCUGCAAUACUACUAGCCACCUAGACAUUUUAUGAAGAUGGCUUUAACUAGCCCAGAUAGUUAUGAGG
Oncorhynchus tshawytscha (Chinook salmon) is the source of this 2827-nucleotide long non-coding RNA. NCBI's taxonomy places the organism in Eukaryota, Metazoa, Chordata, Actinopteri, Salmoniformes, Salmonidae. The record is from Ensembl.